Long non-coding RNA from Lucilia sericata (common green bottle fly), 1282 nucleotides. RefSeq lists it as uncharacterized. The record is from RefSeq and is a predicted model, not a curated record. The transcript has 4 exons. Lineage: Eukaryota; Metazoa; Arthropoda; Insecta; Diptera; Calliphoridae.
AAUAAAGAAAGAAGUGGAAUAUUUAUAUUUUGACAAGUGUUAUUGUAUCAAUAAAAUACUUAGUUUCAUUUUCCCAUUAAAAUCCUCACUUUAUCAAUGAAAUCCUAAUAUCUAACAAAUUCUUCUCUUCAUUGGCAACUCUGCCUUAGUAAUGAAUUUAUUUAGUUCUCACGCAGUUACUACUAAAUAAACACGUUAAAAUUUCUAGUCCAUCUUUAAGCGUAUUUUAAUUAUAGUAAAAGUGAUCUAAAUAAUAUAAAAUUCCUAAUAUAUUUAUCUUUACAAAGUAAUCUAAUAAGAAAUCUAUUAAAAAUCAUAAAAAUUAAGUGUUAAAAACAAGAUUUAAUGAAAAUUAAACAGUAAAAAAAUAGGAGUUUGUGUCAGUGAUUUGCAUUAAAAUUUGAUGUGUGUUGUUGUUUUUUUUUUCCUUUUUUAUGAAAGAAGAGCAUGAGAAAGUAAGAGUAAUAAGAAAAGCAUAAAGUAAAAGUACAAAUAGAACAAAAAAUAAAAAAGUGCAAUGUUUAUAUUUGACAACAAGUGUUUUUUUGUUGUUUUUAAUGUAAUGCUAAAGGGCAAGUUGCGCAUAAUGUAAAUAAAGUAAAUAAAACGGGAAACUGUUCGGGCGUUAAUAUUUUUUCUUUAAUAAGGUAUAAGAAUUUGAAUGAUAUUAGCUAACACGCACAGUGGGAAUUUUAAAGAUCGUUUUCUGUUUCUAUGCAUUUUGCCAAACUGCUAUAGAUAAAACGAUUUUUAAAUAUCUUUUUUUUAAAUAAAAGUAAAAUGAAAAAAUUACCAAACAAAAAACCAGAAUGUUGACGUAAAACAUCUUCGUUAGCGCGACGGGUAACACCAUCCUUACCCCUGACCUUUUCAACAGUUAGAAUUCCCAUGGGAUCCAAUUCAGAAGCCAAAUGACCACGAGACUAUAUUAUAUGAACACAAUGACACGGAAGACUAAGUAAUCACUAGGAUCAACUCAAGUAGGAAUUUCAAAACGUUUGUGAUCAGCAGAAUUCAUCCAAAAGCGAGGAAAUUGGUUACCAUACGAAUUGAAGCUGGGAGACCUUGAAAGACUAUUCCAUAGACGAGUCGACUGGCUGAUCUCUCUGGGGUUCGCAGUUAUAAGCAGUUAUUUCGGCACGGAAUCCAUAUAUUGCGAGAUAGAUGAGAAAAGGCCAUAGCUAACAGUGUGCCCUAUACUCUGAAUAAAUUCAUAUUAUACAUACUUUUCAAAAUAAAAACUAAACAUUAAAAAAAAUUACGCAUUUUUAAGAUAUACACC